Molecule: transfer RNA, 73 nt
Organism: Clostridiales bacterium PH28_bin88
Lineage: Bacteria; Bacillati; Bacillota; Clostridia; Eubacteriales
Rfam family: tRNA
About the family: Transfer RNA (tRNA) molecules are approximately 80 nucleotides in length.
Source: Rfam
GGGCGAUUAGCUCAGCUGGGAGAGCACUUGCCUUACAAGCAAGGGGUCGGCAGUUCGAGCCUGUCAUCGCCCA